This 78-nucleotide transfer RNA is filed under the name Candidatus Nealsonbacteria bacterium CG10_big_fil_rev_8_21_14_0_10_37_25. Its description in RNAcentral is "tRNA-Lys". It matches the Rfam family "tRNA". Rfam says of the family: Transfer RNA (tRNA) molecules are approximately 80 nucleotides in length. Their secondary structure includes four short double-helical elements and three loops (D, anti-codon, and T loops). Lineage: Bacteria; Candidatus Nealsoniibacteriota. The record is from RNAcentral.
GCCCCCAUAGCUCAAUUGGAAGAGCAGCUCCCUUUUAAGGAGAAGGUUUUGUAGGUUCGACUCCUACUGGGGGCACAA